Phalacrocorax carbo (great cormorant) is the source of this 416-nucleotide non-coding RNA. Lineage: Eukaryota; Metazoa; Chordata; Aves; Suliformes; Phalacrocoracidae. The record is from RefSeq and is a predicted model, not a curated record.
CGACGGCGGCCGGCCGCCCCCCGAGCCCCGGCUGCUCCCCGACUUGGGAGCGGACGGGUGGGAAGUAGCCAACAAGCCACUGUACAACAGACGGCUCCUUCGGGGGACCUGGCUGGGGCAAGCAUAUGUAACUACCCUGCUAAAUACCGGGUUAAUCUGGUUUUAGAGCGGGGGCCCCCUCCAGCGGGGGACAAGCCCGCUGCAGGACAGCUCUGCUGCUCCGGGACUUACCGAGGUCUCCGCAGCCAAAGAAAGCACCUCCGCCUCCCGUUGCUUCCCCAGCCGGAGUGGAGCCCUGCCACUGCCGCCGCGCCUCUUUUAUAUAGAGCGGGACCCGCCGCCCCAUUGGCCGAGAGUGCACUUACCCACGUGAACGCGGAUCCAAGUCGCGGAGUUGCCUUCUCUGACAUGAGUUG